RNAcentral lists this ribosomal RNA (3003 nucleotides) under Solanum lycopersicum (tomato). RNAcentral's name for it is "bacterial LSU rRNA". The stretch from base 703 to 3003 matches the Rfam family "Bacterial large subunit ribosomal RNA". Lineage: Eukaryota; Viridiplantae; Streptophyta; Magnoliopsida; Solanales; Solanaceae. The record is from RNAcentral.
GGUGAUAAGCUGGAGGAAGGUAAGGAUGACGUCAGGUCAUCAUGACCCUUAUGCCCUGGGCGACACACGUGCUGCAAUGGCCGAGACAAAGGGUCACAAUACCGCGAGGGUGAGCUAACCCCAAAAACUCGUCCUCUGUUUUGAUUGCAGGCUGCAGCUCGCCUUUAUGAAACCAGAAUUUUACACACCGACCGUCACACUAUGGGAGUUGGCCAUGCCCGAAGUCGUUACCUUAACAACAAGGAGGGGGAUGCAAAAGGCAAGGCUAGUGGCUGGAGUGAAGUCGUAACAAGGUAGUCGUACUAGAUGUGUGGCUAGAUCUCCUCCUUUUCAUGGAGAGCUAAUGCUUUUGGGUAUUUUACUUUGACACUGCUUCACACCCCAAAAAAAGAAGGGAGCUACGUCAGAGUUAAACUCGAAAUCGAAAUAGGAGCAGGUUUGAAAAAAGGAUCUUAGAGUGUCUAGGGUUGGGCCAGGAGGGUCUCUUGAUGCCUUCUUUUUUCUUCUCAUCAGAGUUAUUUCACAAAGACUUGUCAGGGUAAGGAAGAAGGAGGGAACAAGCACACUCUGAGAGAGCAGUACAACGGAGAGUUGUAUGCUGAGUUUAGUUAGGAUGAAUCACUCCCGAAAAGGAAUCUAUUGAUUCUCUCCCAAUCAGUUGGACAGUAGGUGUAAUGAUUUACUUCACGAGCGAGGUCUCUGGUUCAAGUCCAAGAUGGACCAGCUACGCCAGGGAAAAGAAUAGAAGAAGUAUCUGACUUCUUCAUGCAUGAUCCACUUGUCUCGAGGGGAUAUAGCUCAGUUGGUAGAGCUCCGCUCUUGCAAUGCGUUGAGGCGCAGUAGUUGACUGUACAUCUAGGGGUAAAGCACUGUUUCGGUGUGGGCGGCAAGCGCGGUACAAAAUCGAGGCAAACUCUGAAUACUAGAUAUGACCUCAAAAUAAAUAGGGGUCAAGUUUGGCUAGUGAGACAAUGGGGGAUAAGCUUCAUCGUCGAGAGGGAAACAGCCUAAAUAACCAGCUAAGGCCCCUAAAUGACCGCUCAGUGAUAAAGGAGGUAGGGGUGCAGAGAAAGCCAGGAGGUUCCUAGAAGCAGCCACCAUUGAAAGAGUGCGUAAUAGCUCACUGAUCGAGUGCUCUUGCAUCGAAGAAUAACGGGGCUAAGCGGUCUGCCGAAGCUGUGGUAUGUAAAAAUACAUCGGUAAGGGAGUGUUCCGCCUUAGAGAGAAGCCUGUGUGUGAGCGGUGGUGGAUGAAACAGAAGUGAAAAUGUUGGCUUGACUAACGCAAAAAUUGGUGAGAAUCCAAUGCCCCAAAAAACUAAGGGUUCCUCCGCAAGGUUCGUCCACAGAAGGUGAGUCAGGGCCUAAGAUAAGGCCGAAAGGCGUAGUUUAUGGACAACAGGUGAAUAUUCCUGUACUACUUCUUGUUAGUCCAAGGUACGGAGGAGGCUCGGUUAGCCGAAAGAUGGUUAUAGGUUCAAGAACGUAAGGUGUCCCUGCUUUUUCAGGGUAAGAAGGAGUAGAGAAAAUGCCUCGAGCCUAUGUUCGAAUACUAGGUGCUACGAUGUUGAAUUAACCCAUGGCAUACUCCCACGAAAUGCUCAAACGACGUUAAGCGAGGGUACCUGUACCCAAAACUGACACAGGUGGGUAGGUAGAGAAUCCCUAGGGGCUCGAGACAACACUCUCUAAGGAACUCGGCAAAAUAGCCCUGUAACUUCGGGAGAAGGGGUGCCUAUUCACAAAGGGUGUCGCAGUGACCAGGCUCGGGCGACUGUUUACCAAAAACACAGGUCUCCGAAAAGUCAUAAGACAAUGUACGGGGGUUGACGCCUGCCCACUGACGGAAGGUCAAGAAAGUUAGUGACCUGAUGACAUGGGAGCCAGCGAUUGAAGCCCUGGUGAACGACGGUCUUAACUAUUACGGUCCUAAGGUAGCGAAAUUCUUUUCAGGUAAGUUUUGACCCGCACGAAAGGCGUAACGAUCUGGGCACUGUAUCAGAGAAAGGCUCAGUGAAAUAGACAUGUCUGUGAAGAUGCGCACUACCUGCACCUGGAUAGAAAGACCCUAUGAAGCUUCACUGUUCCCUAGGAUUGGCUUUGGGCCUUUGCUGCGCAGCUUAGGUGGAAGGCAAAGAAGGCCUCCUUCCGGGGGGCCCGAGCCGUCAGUGAGAUACCACGCUGGAAGGGAUAGAAUUCUAACCUUGAAUCAGGACCUACGGGCCAAGGGACAGUCUCAGGUAGACUGUUUCUAUGGAGCGUAGGCCUCUCAAAAGGUAAUGGAGGUGUGCAAAGGUUUCCUCGAGUCGGAUGGAGAUUGGCCCUCGAGUGAAAAGGCAUAAGGGAGCUUGAAUUCAAGAUCUACCCAUCGAAUAGGGAUGAAAGUCGGCCCUAGUGAUCCAAUGGUACCGACUGGAAGGGCCAUCUCUCAACAGAUAAAAUUUACUCUAGGGAUAACAGGUUGAUCUUCCCCAAGAUCUCACAACGACGGGAAGGUUUGGCACCUCGAUGUCGGCUCUUCGCCACCUGGGGAUGUAGUAUGUUCCAAGGGUUGGGUUGUUCUCCCAUUAAAGCGGUAUGUGAUCUAGGUUCAGAAUGUUGUGAGACAGUUUGGUCCAUAUCUGGUGUGGGCUUUAGAGCAUUGAGAGGACCUUUCCCUAGUACGAGAGAAUCGGGAAGGACGCACCUCUGAUGUACCAGUAUCGUGCCCACGGUAAAUGCAGAGUAGCCAAAUGCGGAGCAGAUAACUGCUGAAAGUAUCUAAGUAGUAAGCCCACCCCAAGAUGAGUGAUCUCCUAUUCCGACUUCCCUCAAAGCUUCUGGUAGUACAACCGAGACAGCGACAUGUUCUCUGCCCCUGCGGGGAUAGAGCGACUGAAAUUUUUUUGAGAAUUCAAGAGAAGAUCACGGCGAGACAAGUCGUUUAUCAAUACGAUAGGUGUCAAGUGGAAGUGCAGUGAUGUAUGCAGCUGAGGCAUCCUAACAGACCGGUAGACUUGAACCU